This 471-nucleotide ribosomal RNA is filed under the name uncultured bacterium. Its description in RNAcentral is "partial 16S ribosomal RNA". It matches the Rfam family "Bacterial small subunit ribosomal RNA", at positions 28 to 507 of the family's 1533-position model. The record is from RNAcentral.
GACGAACGCUGGCGGCGUGCUUAACACAUGCAAGUCGAACGAAGAGGCCUAGCUUGUGCGGUGGUUUAGUGGCGAACGGGUGAGUGAUACGCGAGUGACCUACCUUUCUCUCUGGGAUAAGCCUGGGAGAGAGGGCCUAAUACAGGCUACGACAAAUCUUCGCCCGGGGUGUUGGUGGGAAACGGUCGGGAGUGGUUUUAGCUGGUGGCUCGGCCUAUCCGCUUGUGGGGGAGGUAAUGGCUAACGAAUGCGACGGCUGGUAGGCGGCCUUGGAGGGUGACCGGCCACAAUGGGACUGCGGCACGGCCCAGUCUCCUACGGGAGGCAGCGGUGGGGAAUAUUACACAGUGGGGGCAAGCCUGAUGCAGCGACGCCGCGUGCGUGAUGACGGCCUUCGGGUUGUAAACCACUGUGUGCGUCGAUGAAGCGAAAGUGACGGUAGGUGCAGAGAAAGCGCCGGCUAACUACGUG